GAGAGAGAGAGAUCACAGGCUGAGGAGAUGAAUUAUGACUGCUGAGAGCCAAACAUGAUCUCUCUGGGCUUCAGCAGGAAAACUGAACAGUGAGGAGCACUGACAAGCUGAAUCCCAGAGUCUGAGGAGAUGCAAUAAAUGAUGAAAACACUAAUCCUAAUGAUGGCUUCUGCAUUCUGCAACAGGGCUGCUGUCAAAUCAGCUGAAUCCCAGCUGGGGUAAAACAUCCUUG
This is a long non-coding RNA of Passer montanus (Eurasian tree sparrow), 232 nucleotides long. RefSeq lists it as uncharacterized. The record is from RefSeq and is a predicted model, not a curated record. The transcript has 3 exons. Lineage: Eukaryota; Metazoa; Chordata; Aves; Passeriformes; Passeridae.